This 673-nucleotide long non-coding RNA is filed under the name Cavia porcellus (domestic guinea pig). RNAcentral describes it as "lncRNA (ENSCPOG00000032524.1)". Lineage: Eukaryota; Metazoa; Chordata; Mammalia; Rodentia; Caviidae. The record is from RNAcentral.
AGCUGAGAUUAUAAUAGUAGUUACGUUACCACUAUGAAAAUAUAAGCAAAAUCCCUUCAGAUUCAGCUAACCAAACCAAAAAUAAUAACCUCUUGUUUCCUGUAUCGCAUAAGGGUUCCCAUACUGUAGAGCUGGCUGUGCACCGGACAGCACCAAAGUACGCCCAUUUUGCUCCGAGCAUGCGUUGAGACCCUGGGAGACAUGCUGAAGACUAUGACCUUCCCUUUUCCGUUCUGUUUGGUUUUCUACCCUUUUAAGUUCCUUCUCGUCCUUUUCAGUCUUCAACUGACAUUCAAGUUGUUCUCUUUCAUACUCUGCCUUUCUGAGUUUGUCCUUUAAACUGAGUCAAGAUAUAGAUAAAUCAAACUGAGUCAAUGUACAGAUAAAUCAAAAAAAUCUUAUUAAAACAAGGUUAAAUUAUUUUUCAAAAGCAUCAUAAAUACCUGUCUAAUUCAGUUUCUUUUUCAAUUGCUUUAUGUGUCACUGAUACAAUAUCUUCCUCAAGCUGGAGAGCUUUAGACGUAGCAUCACUGUAUCGCUUCUUAAACUCUUCAUUUUCCAUUUUUAAAUUUUGUGACACUUCAAUAAGACCCUUAGAAACAAGGUAUGUGAGGAAAGAUCAGUAAAGCAUCUUUGUCUAUUUUCAGCAAACCUCAACGUCUUUGUUUUUCGU